RNAcentral lists this long non-coding RNA (401 nucleotides) under Homo sapiens (human). Its description in RNAcentral is "HSALNT0212648". Lineage: Eukaryota; Metazoa; Chordata; Mammalia; Primates; Hominidae. The record is from RNAcentral.
GAGAAAUCCGAUCCGAUGCGCGCUAGGCGGCGGCGGCGGAGCACAGUGAAACCCACCUGAGGGGGAAGGGUUGGGGGGAACCCAAUCUUGAUGGAGCCCCUCCCCAUGCGGGCACUUUGGGCACUUCCUGAAGUCCUACCUGGCCACCCGCCUGCCCGGGGCAUCAGGCAUCGCCACUUCACUGGGGAGAAAAGCCAGACCGCCGCAGUUCACGGAGCGGUAGGAAUUGCGGUGGAAUUCCAGGCCGGAGUGUGUGACCCUACGCCCUAGCUCCGUCCUCUCCUCCACCCCGAGGCGAGCAGGUGUCUGCAGGAGUGCCUCCAACCCCAUUGCAAAGCGGACGUGGCCCUCGUCUCGAUGUCGGCGCUGCUCGCCGAGAGGGACCCCGGGGUGGUGUUGGG